CCUACGGGGGGCAGCAGUAGGGAAUCUUUCACAAUGGGCGAAAGCCUGAUGGAGCAACGCCGCGUGCAGGAUGAAGGCCUUCGGGUUGUAAACUGCUUUUAUAAGCGAGAAAUAUGAUGGUAACUUAUGAAUAAGGAUCGGCUAACUACGUGCCAGCAGCCGCGGUCAUACGUAGGAUCCGAGCAUUAUCCGGAGUGACUGGGUGUAAAGAGUUGCGUAGGUGGCAUAAUAAGUAGCUAGUGAAAUCUGGUGGCUCAACCAUUCAGACUAUUAGCUAAACUGUUAAGCUCGAGACCGUUAGGGGUAACUGGAAUUGCUAGUGUAGGAGUGAAAUCCGUAGAUAUUAGAAGGAACACCAAUAGCGUAGGCAGGUUGCUGGGACGGUUCUGACACUAAGGCACGAAAGCGUAGGGAGCAAACGGGAUUAGAUACCCCUGUAGUC
This 442-nucleotide ribosomal RNA is filed under the name uncultured bacterium. RNAcentral's name for it is "partial 16S ribosomal RNA". It matches the Rfam family "Bacterial small subunit ribosomal RNA", at positions 338 to 795 of the family's 1533-position model. The record is from RNAcentral.